CUGAGAUCAGUCUCCAGUGGCGUUUUGGUCCGGGAAAGGCCCUGACCUGUGGCCACACAUUAUGUAACCAUGCCACGUGAAGUGCAUUAGGUGAUCACUCACAUGAGUCUGUGCCUGGCUUAGAGACACUGUUGUCUACAAAAGGUAUAAUUACCCUGCUAGCGGCUAUACAUAGGGCUUGUGCCCAGAAAGAGGAUAAAGCCAUAUCAAAACUCCCUACGAUUCCUGUAGUGUUUUUCCAGCUACUCCCCCACCGACUCCCCUCGGACCUCAGUUUGGGAUAGAACCUGACAAUUGGUGUCAUGAACAGGAUCCUGAGAUUUAGAAGCAGUGGCGUCCCUCUUGCGGCAACAUUUAGCAGCAUGUGGUUGGGCCGUCAACGAAUCCAAGGUCCAAGGUCCUGGAUUAUCUGCCAGAUUCUUGGGAGUUAUCUGGUCAGGCUCCAGUUAGUAGUUGCUGCCUAGGAGAUGAAGUGAAUUUCACAAGAAAGACAUAAGAAGCCAACAACUGCUAUUACCCCUGUAUGCACACAAGUUGAACCUAACGGCAUUAAAAGAAAAGGACAAGCUGUGAAAUGCCUAGAUUCCAGAGCAACAGACUGUGAUCCAUUCCCAACAACCCCUCCCUACCGUCUGCCACCAGUUCCCUUAAAGCAGGAAUCAGAGCUAGACUGACUCAACUAAGUGGAAAAUAUGUAUUGCCUAGGAAUUUGAAUUCUGACAGAAAUGUUGAGGAGAGGAGUAAAUCAUAUUAAAGAAUUGUUUUGGAGAACUUGGAACUCAACAUUCCAUAAAGCAAGAAGCUUGACAUAGCAUCGAUGAGCCCAAGUCAACUAUAUGAACAAAACAAUGUCUCAGGAGGGGCAGGGUAUCACGUCAGAAGAAUCCUGAGUCCUUAGAUGACCUUGUAGAAAAGAGCCACAAACUUACUCUGGGCUACCUUCAUACCUCUGAACUAUUAUGCAGAGAGAAAUAAAUGUAUUCAAAUCACUGUUUUUUGGGUUUCUUCAUUCAUGUAGCUUAGCCUAUAACCUAAGUAA
RNAcentral lists this long non-coding RNA (1039 nucleotides) under Homo sapiens (human). RNAcentral's name for it is "HSALNT0179452". Lineage: Eukaryota; Metazoa; Chordata; Mammalia; Primates; Hominidae. The record is from RNAcentral.